UACAGAGGUCCCAAGCGUUGUUCGGAUUCACUGGGCGUAAAGGGUGCGUAGGUGGUGGGGUAAGUCCGAUGUGAAAGCUCCGAGCUCAACUCGGAAAUUGCAUUAGAAACUACCUUGCUAGAGGGUUGGAGGGGGGACUGGAAUUCUCGGUGUAGCAGUGAAAUGCGUAGAUAUCGAGAGGAACACCAGUGGCGAAGGCGAGUCCCUGGACAACUCCUGACGCUGAGGUACGAAAGCUAGGGGAGCAAACAGG
Molecule: ribosomal RNA, 253 nt
Filed under: uncultured bacterium
Lineage: Bacteria
Description: partial 16S ribosomal RNA
Rfam family: Bacterial small subunit ribosomal RNA
Source: RNAcentral